This 257-nucleotide ribosomal RNA is filed under the name uncultured bacterium. Its description in RNAcentral is "partial small subunit ribosomal RNA". It matches the Rfam family "Bacterial small subunit ribosomal RNA", at positions 26 to 286 of the family's 1533-position model. The record is from RNAcentral.
AGGACGAACGCUGGCGGCGUGCUUAACACAUGCAAGUCGAGCGGAAAGGCCCUUUUGGGGGUACUCGAGCGGCGAACGGGUGAGUAACACGUGAGUAACCUGCCCUGGACUUUGGGAUAACCCUCGGAAACGGGGGCUAAUACCGGAUAUGACUUGGCCUCGCAUGGGGUUGGGUGGAAAGUUUUUCGGUCUGGGAUGGGCUCGCGGCCUAUCAGUUUGUUGGUGGGGUGAUGGCCUACCAAGGCGACGACGGGUAG